AACCAUAGAAACCUGCGGAGUACCUGCGGAAGGAUCAUUACAGAGUUGCAAAACUCCCUAAACCAUUGUGAACGUUACCUAAACCGUUGCUUCGGCGGGCGGCCCGGGUCCUUCCCGGCGCCCCUCGGCCCUCGCGGGCGCCCGCCGGAGGUAAACCAAACUAUUGCAUUUGUAUGGCCUCUCUGAGUCUUCUGUACUGAAUAAGUCAAAACUUUCAACAAUGGAUCUCAGAUCGGAAGA
Molecule: unclassified non-coding RNA, 240 nt
Filed under: soil metagenome
Description: partial contains 5.8S ribosomal RNA, internal transcribed spacer 2, and large subunit ribosomal RNA
Source: RNAcentral